UGGGGAAUAUUGGACAAUGGGCGAAAGCCUGAUCCAGCCAUACCGCGUGUGUGAAGAAGGUCUUAGGAUUGUAAAGCACUUUAAGUUGGGAGGAAGGGUUGUAGCCUAAUACGCUGUAACUUUGACGUUACCGACAGAAUAAGCACCGGCUAACUCUGUGCCAGCAGCCGCGGUAAUACAGAGGGUGCAAGCGUUAAUCGGAAUUACUGGGCGUAAAGCGCGCGUAGGUGGUUCAGUAAGAUGGGUGUGAAAUCCCCGGGCUCAACCUGGGAACUGCUUUCAUAACUGCUGAGCUAGAGUACGGUAGAGGGUAGUGGAAUUUCCUGUGUAGCGGUGAAAUGCGUAGAUAUAGGAAGGAACACCAGUGGCGAAGGCGACUACCUGGACUGAUACUGACACUGAGGUGCGAAAGCGUGGGGAGCAAACAGG
This 429-nucleotide ribosomal RNA is filed under the name uncultured prokaryote. Its description in RNAcentral is "bacterial SSU rRNA". It matches the Rfam family "Bacterial small subunit ribosomal RNA", at positions 355 to 776 of the family's 1533-position model. The record is from RNAcentral. RNAcentral also lists the same sequence under 1 other name.